This 256-nucleotide unclassified non-coding RNA is filed under the name Hevea brasiliensis (rubber tree). The record is from RNAcentral. Lineage: Eukaryota; Viridiplantae; Streptophyta; Magnoliopsida; Malpighiales; Euphorbiaceae.
UGCGGCGACGGAACGCAUUCCCGCAGGCCACAAGGUUGCGGUGAAGCCGAUUGCGGUCGGAGAGCCCGUCAAGCGCUACGGCCAGAUCAUCGGUUUCGCCACCGUUCCGAUCGCGCCGGGACAGCAUGUCCAUGUGCAGANCAUGGGGGAGUUUUCCAAGGACUAUGCCUACGGUGUCGACGUCAAGCCGACGCCGAAUUUCGAUCUGCCCGCGACGUUUCAGGGCAUCCGGCGUCCAGAUGGACGCGUGGCGACC